This 343-nucleotide unclassified non-coding RNA is filed under the name soil metagenome. Its description in RNAcentral is "partial contains 5.8S ribosomal RNA, internal transcribed spacer 2, and large subunit ribosomal RNA". The stretch from base 1 to 120 matches the Rfam family "5.8S ribosomal RNA", at positions 35 to 154 of the family's 154-position model. The record is from RNAcentral.
GAUGAAGAACGCAGCGAAACGCGAUAUGUAAUGUGAAUUGCAGAAUUCAGUGAAUCAUCGAAUCUUUGAACGCACAUUGCGCCCGCCAGUAUUCUGGCGGGCAUGCCUGUUCGAGCGUCAUUUCAACCCUCAAGCCCCCGGGCUUGGUGUUGGGGAUCGGCGUGCCCUCGCGGCGCGCCGUCCCCUAAAUCUAGUGGCGGUCUCGCUGUAGCUUCCUCUGCGUAGUAGCAACACUCGCACUGGAUCGCAGCGCGGCCACGCCGUUAAACCCCCCACUUCUGAAAGUUUGACCUCGGAUCAGGUAGGAAUACCCGCUGAACUUAAGCAUAUCAAUAAGCGGAGA